CCGAUCAACGCCGCUUUUCAGCCUGUAUCCUGCGGAUAACAAAUAUAUCCGAUCGACGCCUUUCGGGCCAUCACUUCCGAGAGAUUUCCAGACGAAGAUCCGGCGACAGGUCGUCUCCUUCGCGGUGUCGGCAGAUUUUUUUUGGAGACGAAGCUACUUGCUUCUGUGACGAUGACAUCGGACCUCUGGCUUCUAUGCUUUAAAAAGGUUGUCAGGGUGAAGUUUUUGGGACACUCUCCUUUGGACAGGGUGAUCUUGAUUCUGAUUAUUUCUGGACGAACAAAUCGACUGUGAAAAAAGUGAUGCUUUCAAGAGGUUUGCAGGUCUGACUUUUGAGAUGCACAGAUUUGUGAGCUAAAUCGAUGAAGCUGUGAAGCAAAUCCGUAUGAUAUCGUAGAAUUUGGACUGAACACAAAGUUUAUCUUAAUCAUUUUCACUAAAGGAACCAAAUACUUGUAAGCCUCUAGUAUUAUCCUUAUUCUCGUAUGCGGCUUAUCUCGAAAAGAUAAAAUUGUGUAGAUUUAUUUAAAACAGAUAAUUUCUUACCAGUGUUCGCACUCUUGCAGGG
Long non-coding RNA from Musa acuminata subsp. malaccensis (wild Malaysian banana), 568 nucleotides. RefSeq lists it as uncharacterized. NCBI's taxonomy places the organism in Eukaryota, Viridiplantae, Streptophyta, Magnoliopsida, Zingiberales, Musaceae. The record is from RefSeq and is a predicted model, not a curated record.